GACGAACGCUGGCGGCGUGCUUAACACAUGCAAGUCGAGCGGUAAGGCCCUUUCGGGGGUACACGGGCGGCGAACGGGUGAGUAACACGUGGGUGACCUGCCCUCAGCUCUGGGAUAAGCCUGGGAAACUGGGUCUAAUACCGGAUAUGACUCCAUGACGCAUGUUGUGGGGUGGAAAGCCUUGUGCGGCUGAGGAUGGGCCCGCGGCCUAUCAGCUUGUUGGUGGGGUGAUGGCCUACCAAGGCGACGACGGGUAGCCGGCCUGAGAGGGCGACCGGCCACACUGGGACUGAGACACGGCCCAGACUCCUACGGGAGGCAGCAGUGGGGAAUCUUGCGCAAUGGGCGAAAGCCUGACGCAGCGACGCCGCGUGAGGGAUGACGGCCUGGUGUAAC
RNAcentral lists this ribosomal RNA (396 nucleotides) under uncultured bacterium. Its description in RNAcentral is "bacterial SSU rRNA". It matches the Rfam family "Bacterial small subunit ribosomal RNA", at positions 28 to 429 of the family's 1533-position model. The record is from RNAcentral.